This 479-nucleotide ribosomal RNA is filed under the name uncultured bacterium. RNAcentral describes it as "partial 16S ribosomal RNA". It matches the Rfam family "Bacterial small subunit ribosomal RNA", at positions 28 to 507 of the family's 1533-position model. The record is from RNAcentral.
GACGAACGCUGGCGGCGUGCUUAACACAUGCAAGUCGAACGAAGCUUGAUUACGGAUUCUUCGGAUGAAGUAUGAUAUGACUGAGUGGCGGACGGGUGAGUAACGCGUGAGUAACCUGCCCUUCAGAGGGGGAUAGCGUUUGGAAACGAACGGUAAUACCGCAUAAUGUAUUUUGACCGCAUGAUCGAAAUACCAAAGAUUUAUCGCUGAAGGAUGGACUCGCGUCUGAUUAGGUAGUUGGUGGGGUAACGGUCUACCAAGCCGACGAUCAGUAGCCGGACUGAGAGGUUGAUCGGCCACAUUGGGACUGAGACACGGCCCAGACUCCUACGGGAGGCAGCAGUGGGGAAUAUUGCACAAUGGGCGCAAGCCUGAUGCAGCAACGCCGCGUGAAGGAAGACGGUUUUCGGAUUGUAAACUUCUGUUCUUAGUGAAGAAUAAUGACGGUAGCUAAGGAGCAAGCCACGGCUAACUACGUG